CAAUAGCGUAUAUUAAAGUUGUUGCGGUUAAAAAGCUCGUAGUUGGAUUUCUGCUGAGAACGACCGGUCCGCCCUCUGGGUGUGUAUCUGGCUCUUUCUUGGCAUCUUCUUGGUGAACGUUGCUGCACUUGACUGUGUGGAGCGCUACCCAGGACUUUUACUUUGAGGAAAUUAGAGUGUUUCAAGCAGGCAUACGCCUUGAAUACAUUAGCAUGGAAUAAUAAGAUAGGACCUCGGUUCUAUUUUGUUGGUUUCUAGAACUGAGGUAAUGAUUAAUAGGGAUAGUUGGGGGCAUUAGUAUUUAAUUGUCAGAGGUGAAAUUCUUGGAUUUAUUAAAGACUAACAUCUGCGAAAGCAUUUGCCAAGGAUGUUUUCAUUAA
This 380-nucleotide ribosomal RNA is filed under the name uncultured eukaryote. RNAcentral describes it as "partial 18S ribosomal RNA". It matches the Rfam family "Eukaryotic small subunit ribosomal RNA", at positions 592 to 976 of the family's 1831-position model. The record is from RNAcentral.